AUUAACAACGAUAACAAGGGCGGCGCUGUCGCCCUCUCGAUUGCUGAAACCGCGGCGUGGACAGACCGCCUGAUCGGGUCGUUCCCCUGACUCAGGCGCAUUAAGCCGUUCAUCAAUCUUCAGGGUAGCUCUGCUACCCUUUUUUACCGGAGUUCG
Pantoea stewartii subsp. stewartii DC283 is the source of this 156-nucleotide non-coding RNA. The record is from Rfam. Lineage: Bacteria; Pseudomonadati; Pseudomonadota; Gammaproteobacteria; Enterobacterales; Erwiniaceae.